RNAcentral lists this ribosomal RNA (474 nucleotides) under uncultured bacterium. RNAcentral describes it as "bacterial SSU rRNA". It matches the Rfam family "Bacterial small subunit ribosomal RNA", at positions 335 to 801 of the family's 1533-position model. The record is from RNAcentral.
ACUCCUACGGGAGGCAGCAGUGGGGAAUAUUGCACAAUGGGCGCAAGCCUGAUGCAGCCAUGCCGCGUGUGUGAAGAAGGCCUUCGGGUUGUAAAGCACUUUCAGUCGUGAGGAAGGUAGUGUAGUUAAUAGCUGCAUUAUUUGACGUUAGCGACAGAAGAAGCACCGGCUAACUCCGUGCCAGCAGCCGCGGUAAUACGGAGGGGUUGAUGCGUUGUUCGGAAUUACUGGGCGUAAAGCGCACGUAGGCGGACUAUUAAGUUAGAGGUGAAAUCCCAGGGCUCAACCCUGGAACUGCCUUUAAUACUGGUAGUCUUGAGUUCGAGAGAGGUGAGUGGAAUUCCGAGUGUAGAGGUGAAAUUCGUAGAUAUUCGGAGGAACACCAGUGGCGAAGGCGGCUCACUGGCUCGAUACUGACGCUGAGGUGCGAAGUGUGGGGAGCAAACAGGAUUAGAUACCCUGGUAGGUGACAAU